RNAcentral lists this ribosomal RNA (433 nucleotides) under uncultured bacterium. Its description in RNAcentral is "bacterial SSU rRNA". It matches the Rfam family "Bacterial small subunit ribosomal RNA", at positions 27 to 507 of the family's 1533-position model. The record is from RNAcentral.
GAACGAACGCUGGCGGCAUGCCUAACACAUGCAAGUCGAACGAACCCUUCGGGGUUAGUGGCGCACGGGUGCGUAACACGUGGGAAUCUGCCCUUUGCUUCGGAAUAACAGUUAGAAAUGACUGCUAAUACCGGAUGAUGUCGUAAGACCAAAGAUUUAUCGGCAAAGGAUGAGCCCGCGUAGGAUUAGGUAGUUGGUGGGUAAAGGCCUACCAAGCCGACGAUCCUUAGCUGGUCUGAGAGGAUGAUCAGCCACACUGGGACUGAGACACGGCCCAGACUCCUACGGGAGGCAGCAGUGGGGAAUAUUGGACAAUGGGCGAAAGCCUGAUCCAGCAAUGCCGCGUGAGUGAUGAAGGCCUUCGGGUUGUAAAGCUCUUUUACCAGGGAUGAUAAUGACAGUACCUGGAGAAUAAGCUCCGGCUAACUCCGUG